CUCCUGUUUGUGCUGGUAAUGGAGACCUUGGCUGAUAUGAUACGCUGCAGCGCAGAUAUCAAAGGUAUUGCAGUAGGGGGUAUGGAACAUAAAAUAGGCCUUUUUGCAGAUGACAUCAUGUUAUUGCUUAAAAAUCCAAUGACUUCACUAACUCGGUUGAUGUACAUUCUGCAGGAAUUCAACAAAAUUUCGUUCUAUAAAUUGAAUACAGCCAAAACUCAAGCUCUCUCUUUCUACAUACUUUGGUAUGAUUUAGACACUUUGAAAGGUCGGUUUGACUUCAAUUGGAGGGACUCUUAUAUCUCUUAUCUGUGCAUUAACCUUUGCAAGAACCUGUCCAAGAUGCAUUCUUAUAACACGGGUAAGGUCUGGUCAGACUUUAGGAACGAUCCUGAGAGAUGGUGUAGUCUGGAAAUUUCAUGAUUAGGUAGG
Molecule: non-coding RNA, 432 nt
Organism: Pelobates cultripes (western spadefoot toad)
Lineage: Eukaryota; Metazoa; Chordata; Amphibia; Anura; Pelobatidae
Source: the annotation of a GenBank genome assembly